UAAGGUGGUUAUUGCGGCGGGGCUCACCUCUUCCCUUCCCGAACAGAGAAGUUAAGCCCGCCUGCGCAGAUGGUACUGCAAUUUGUGGGAGAGUAUGUCGCCGCCUUUU
This 109-nucleotide ribosomal RNA is filed under the name Flavobacterium sp. BFFFF2. Lineage: Bacteria; Pseudomonadati; Bacteroidota; Flavobacteriia; Flavobacteriales; Flavobacteriaceae. The record is from RNAcentral.